UGAGCAGGAGCAGUUGACAGACCCUCGUUUGUUUUCCGGGGGUGGAGUGGGGGGGGGGGUGGCUGCAGCCUUUCACAGCAAAGUAUACGAAGGCUGGAGUGGCCAGUGAGAGCUGUCAGUGGGUGUCACCAGCGACAGAAACACCCCAGGAAUAAAGAACGGACCCCACGGGCAGUGCCUGAUCUUCCACAACCCACGUGAACACACAUCGUCUCCGUUUGCUUUCAAGGCAGCAGGAGGUGGGGGGGUCACAAUGAUCCCCCCCAUUUCAAAACAGAGGAAGCUGAGGUCCAAAGAGAAGAAACGGCUUGCCCAAAGGCUCCCCAAGACAUCCUGGUUUCCAGGCGUAGUGGGCAGAACAGUGGUCUCCCAAAGACGUCCGCGUUCUGACGCCUGGAGCCUGUGACUACCCCAGGAAACAAAUAGCUUCUUCAAUCUAUUAUGUCAUUGGAUGCUCACAGCAACUCUCUGGGUGACUGGUCCACAGAUGCGCGUGUGACCUGGGAGCCACUGAGAGUCAGCCUGAAGACGAGCUAAGACUACAGGGAGGGACGCGCUCUUUCUGCCGGGGCGGCUGAGCUGUUAGGAUGUAAGCCUGAAGCUGCUGGGGGGCCACCUUUACCACCACACAAGGAGAAGCUACCUGAGGAUGAAGCCAGCACAGGGAGAGGCAGAACUGAGAGAUGGAGAGAGAAGGAGAGAAGGAGUGCUGAUGAUCUUGUUCCGGCCCCUGGAUCCAGCUGUACCUGAAGCCUGUAACCC
Molecule: long non-coding RNA, 762 nt
Filed under: Equus asinus (donkey)
Lineage: Eukaryota; Metazoa; Chordata; Mammalia; Perissodactyla; Equidae
Description: lncRNA (ENSEASG00005038109.1)
Source: RNAcentral